CUGCCCAUAGCUCAGCUGGAUAGAGCAUCGGCCUUCUAAGCCGACGGUCGGGGGUUCGAAUCCCUCUGGGCAGGCCA
This 77-nucleotide transfer RNA is filed under the name Ralstonia mannitolilytica. Its description in RNAcentral is "tRNA-Arg (TCT) (tRNA-Arg-TCT-1-1)". It matches the Rfam family "tRNA". Rfam says of the family: Transfer RNA (tRNA) molecules are approximately 80 nucleotides in length. Lineage: Bacteria; Pseudomonadati; Pseudomonadota; Betaproteobacteria; Burkholderiales; Burkholderiaceae. The record is from RNAcentral. RNAcentral also lists the same sequence under 4 other names.